This 836-nucleotide ribosomal RNA is filed under the name uncultured bacterium. RNAcentral's name for it is "bacterial SSU rRNA". It matches the Rfam family "Bacterial small subunit ribosomal RNA", at positions 60 to 891 of the family's 1533-position model. The record is from RNAcentral.
AGUCGACGGUAACAGGGAAAAGCUUGCUUUUCCGCUGACGAGUGGCGCACGGGUGCGUAACGCGUAUACAAUCUGCCUCUUACAGGGGGAUAGCCUUUGGAAACGAAGAAUAAUACCCCAUAGUAUGUAGCUAUCGCAUGGUAACUGCAUUAAAGAUUUAUCGGUAAGAGAUGAGUAUGCGUCCUAUUAGCUAGAUGGUGUGGUAACGGCACACCAUGGCGACGAUAGGUAGGGGCCCUGAGAGGGGGAUCCCCCACACUGGUACUGAGACACGGACCAGACUCCUACGGGAGGCAGCAGUGAGGAAUAUUGGACAAUGGGCGAGAGCCUGAUCCAGCCAUGCCGCGUGCAGGAAGACUGCCCUAUGGGUUGUAAACUGCUUUUGUACGGGAAGAAACCCACCUACGUGUAGGUGGCUGACGGUACCGUAAGAAUAAGGAUCGGCUAACUCCGUGCCAGCAGCCGCGGUAAUACGGAGGAUCCGAGCGUUAUCCGGAAUCAUUGGGUUUAAAGGGUCCGUAGGUGGACGAUUAAGUCAGAGGUGAAAUCCUGCAGCUCAACUGUAGAAUUGCCUUUGAUACUGGUUGUCUUGAAUCAUUGUGAAGUGGUUAGAAUAUGUAGUGUAGCGGUGAAAUGCAUAGAUAUUACAUAGAAUACCAAUUGCGAAGGCAGAUCACUAACAAUGUAUUGACACUGAUGGACGAAAGCGUGGGGAGCGAACGGGAUUAGAUACCCCGGUAGUCCACGCCGUAAACGAUGGUCACUAGCUGUUCGGGCUUUGGUCUGAGCGGCUAAGCGAAAGUGAUAAGUGACCCACCUGGGGAGUACGUUCGCAA